Long non-coding RNA from Oryzias melastigma (Indian medaka), 290 nucleotides. RefSeq lists it as uncharacterized. NCBI's taxonomy places the organism in Eukaryota, Metazoa, Chordata, Actinopteri, Beloniformes, Adrianichthyidae. The transcript is spliced from 3 exons. The record is from RefSeq and is a predicted model, not a curated record.
AAGUUGGACAGACACAAGACCUGCACUGAGGCGGCUUUCUCUGCCGGAGCUGCUCCAGUUUAACAGGAGGGUGCGGUCUGCACCAAAACCACAAUGUUAGCAGAUUUAGACCUGAAGAUGAGCUGGAUUCAGGCCUCAUCAGACAGCAAACAAAGGGCUCGAUGAGGAGGGAAGAAGAGGGUUGGAGCUAACCAAGCAUCAAUUCCUGAUGGUCAGCUGGAUCAGGUGGAGCUGGGGUUCUGCUCUGAUGCCUGAACUGGUGUCCCGGGACACAGCGGACCACGGCGUGC